UACGGAAGGCAGCAGUGGGGAAUAUUGCACAAUGGGCGCAAGCCUGAUGCAGCCAUGCCGCGUGUAUGAAAAAGGCCUUCGGGUUGUAAAGUACUUUCAGUCGUGAGGAAGGUGUUAAGGUUAAUAACCUUAGCAAUUGACGUUAGCGACAGAAGAAGCACCGGCUAACUCCGUGCCAGCAGCCGCGGUAAUACGGAGGGUGCGAGCGUUAAUCGGAAUUACUGGGCGUAAAGGGCACGCAGGCGGUUAAUUAAGUUGGAUGUGAAAUCCCCGGGCUUAACCUGGGAAUGGCAUUCAAGCUGGUUAGCUAGAGUCUUGUAGAGGGGGUAGAAUUCCAUGUGUAGCGGUGAAAUGCGUAGAGAUGUGGAGGAAUACCGGUGGCGAAGGCGGCCCCUGGACAAAGGCUGACGCUCAUGUGCGAAAGCGUGGGGAGCAAAC
RNAcentral lists this ribosomal RNA (438 nucleotides) under uncultured bacterium. RNAcentral's name for it is "bacterial SSU rRNA". It matches the Rfam family "Bacterial small subunit ribosomal RNA", at positions 340 to 773 of the family's 1533-position model. The record is from RNAcentral.